GGGGAAACGAGAUGAGAGCCAUCUGAGUCCACCUCCACGCGUGUUUAUUUUACCUUGUUGCUUCGGCGGGCCCGCCUUAACUGGCCGCCGGGGGGCUUACGCCCCCGGGCCCGCGCCCGCCGAAGACACCCUCGAACUCUGUCUGAAGAUUGAAGUCUGAGUGAAAAUAUAUAUUAUUUAAAACUUUCAACAACGGAUCUCUUGGUUCCGGCAUCGAUGAAGAACGCAGCGAAAUGCGAUACGUAAUGUGAAUUGCAAAUUCAGAUGAAUCAUCGAGUCUUUGAUCGUACAUUGCGCCCCCUGGUAUUCCGGGGGGCAUGUCUGUCCGAGCGUGAUUGCUGCCAUCAAGCCCGGCUUGUGUGUUGGGCCCCGUCCCCCGAUCUCCGGGGGACGGGCCCGAAAGGAGUGCGGCGGCACCGCGUCCUGUCCUCGAGGGUAUGGGGCUUUGUCACCCGCUGUGUAGGCCCGGCCGGCGAUAGCCGAUAAAACCAAAUUUAUAGGGAGGUUGACUUCCGAUAGGGGUAAGGACACGACUGUGAACUUGUGCAUGUCUAUAAGAAGAUAAUUAAGUACGAUAGUAUGGUGGUUAGAUUCGCCAUGUUGAUUUCCCUUGUUGCAUCGCGGGCCCCUUUAUGGCGGCGGGGGGUUAAGGCCUGGCCCCCCCACAAAAAUCCUUUAUUGAGAUGAAGACGAAAACUUAAUGAAAAUUAAAUUUUUUAAAAACUUCCACAAGGGACUUUGGGUUCCACGAAAAAAAAAAACGAAAUGGAUAUCUAUAGUGUAAUGGCCCAUUAAUUGAAAAUCUAAUCCUUUUAACCCAUUUUUCCGUGUAUUCGGGGGGGGGUAGCUUUUAAAAGUUUUUUUUCCAAACCGGGUGGUUUUUUGUUCGCUUCCCCUCUUCUGUGAAAGAUCAAAAAAAUAAUCCCUCUUCCCCUUGCCCCGUGUAAUUGGGGUAUUUUUAUCUUUUUUUUCCGCGCCCACUUGGGACAAUCACUAAUUU
RNAcentral lists this unclassified non-coding RNA (1000 nucleotides) under Penicillium crustosum. RNAcentral describes it as "sequence contains 18S rRNA gene, ITS1, 5.8S rRNA gene and ITS2". The stretch from base 182 to 335 matches the Rfam family "5.8S ribosomal RNA". The record is from RNAcentral. Lineage: Eukaryota; Fungi; Ascomycota; Eurotiomycetes; Eurotiales; Aspergillaceae.